This is a non-coding RNA of Stegodyphus mimosarum, 73 nucleotides long. Lineage: Eukaryota; Metazoa; Arthropoda; Arachnida; Araneae; Eresidae. The record is from Rfam.
GCCUUCGUGGUGUAGUGGUCAGCACACUCGGAGCGUAUUCGAGAGGUCCGUGGUUCGAGUCCCGGCCAUGGUA